UACGGAGGGGGCUAGCGUUGUUCGGAAUUACUGGGCGUAAAGCGCACGUAGGCGGACUGGAAAGUCAGAGGUGAAAUCCCGGGGCUCAACCCCGGAACUGCCUUUGAAACUCCCGGUCUUGAGGUCGAGAGAGGUGAGUGGAAUUCCGAGUGUAGAGGUGAAAUUCGUAGAUAUUCGGAGGAACACCAGUGGCGAAGGCGGCUCACUGGCUCGAUACUGACGCUGAGGUGCGAAAGCGUGGGGAGCAAACAGG
This 253-nucleotide ribosomal RNA is filed under the name uncultured bacterium. Its description in RNAcentral is "partial 16S ribosomal RNA". It matches the Rfam family "Bacterial small subunit ribosomal RNA", at positions 524 to 776 of the family's 1533-position model. The record is from RNAcentral.